CUCCUGACCUCGUGAUCUGUCUGCCUUGGCUUCCCAAAGUGCUGGGAUUACACAUGUGAGCCACCACACCCAGCUUAAUUUCAGGGUAAUUUUCUGUUGGAUGUGAAAUUAUGGUAAAAUUGCACACAUUAAGAUGACCACAGCCACCAGUUGUUGAAACCAUUUUUUAUACUAGAAGCUUUACAAUUCUCAUCUCCAAGCCUAAAUACAUGACCCCCAAGAUAGGCAUCUCCUCUCUUAGGGAGAAAGACUCACAAAGAGAAGUAACUUAGGUAAGGACAUACAGUGCAUACGUGGUUGUGGUAGGAGCAAAACAGAUGUUAAUUCCCAAUAUUAUACUCUUUCGCAGGCCAUGAAGAGUACCUAGGCCUGGCGCUGUCACCCAGGCUGGAGAGUGGUGGCACCAUCAUAGCUCACUGCAGCCUUAAACUCCUGGGCUCAAGUGAUAUUCUGAAUAGCCGGGAAGACAGGAAGGCACCGUCAUGACCAGCUAAUUUAUUUAUUUAUUUAUUUAUAGAGACAGGAUCUCCCUAUGCUGUUGAGGCUGGUCUUGAACUCCUGGCCUCUAGUGAUCCUCCUGCCUUGGCCUCCCAAAGGGCUGAGAUCACAGGCAUGAGCCGUCAUGUCAGGCCUCCACCAUGUUUUUCAGAGGCCAUUCUUGGUGAGGCUGCUUAAUUUAGUUAAUGCUUGAAAGUGAGCAAAACCCAACCUGCUCAAAAUUAUACAGAUAUUCUUUGGAUGGCUUUGUUAGGGGAAUGGAAAACACCUUUUUAUGGUGAGAGGGUCAAGGUGGCAAUAAUGAUAUUCAGGCUUAAUACCAAUGCGAUGGGGUGCAUUUCCCCCCAGUAGAGUUGGUAUUUAAUUAUAAGAUAAAAUUGAAAAUGUCUUUUCUGUAUUCCUGAAUCCCCAGGCCUUGAAUGAAGAAAGACUAUUUCUCAGGCUGGUUUGUGUUUUUUUUUCUACUUCUUUGGGCAUCUUCUGUUGUCCUAAGACAUGUUUGCAAACUGAAAUUGAUUUUCACUCAACCUAAAAUAAGCUCCACAGCACUGGGUGUUGGCCUUAGCGUGACUAAGUCCCCACCCCCACAUAGUACUGCCACACACCAAGAGUGAUUUAUCGUCUUAGUCACAGGUUGUGGCUUCUGCAGGGCCUGGCGCAUCCUCAGACUGGGCUGAUGCGAAGGCUGUGUCCUUUCUCCCUGUGGUGAGGUGAACAUCAGUGCAGCAUUUAUAGAAAGUCCACAUAAAUUGCGUGAGUGUAAACCUUGCCAGUCGCAGUGAGAAUAACUAGCGUUUAGUGACUCCUUGUUCUGUGGCCCUCAGUGGUCCUGGCCACUAACUUAUCCCCGCUUUGCCCAUGAGCAAGGGAAGCCCCAUGUGCACCGGCUUCCCUGAGUCCCCAGAGCUCCGUGGUGGGGCUGGCCUGUGGCUGCAGCAGGGAUACUCGAGGCUGCGUGCAUCUGUGCCUUCGCUGGUGUCCUUCCCGCGCCCAGCACCAUGCCUGGUGCUUGGCAGGAAUGCAGGUGUUUGCUGCCUGCCUCUAGCCUGGAGUCUCCACCAAGGAGCAGGAAAGCAGGGGUUCUAGCUGUCUUCUUUAUUCAUGAAGUCCUUUAGAUGAAUUCAGCCCUCACUAAUCAAAAGUACCUUGUGAUCCUCAGGUCAAUGUGUGUAAGCUGUUAAGACUUCAAGAUUAGAGCCUUAAAACCGUAGUCAGAAGUGUGAGGUUUCAGCUGACUUGACAUGCAUUAGGUCAAUGCCACACAUAUUUAUUGGACAGCGGGCUGGAGCCCUACAUGGGUGCCUUUGGUGUCUGAAGCUCUGCUGGCUGUAGAGCCCAGUGAGGUGGGAGGGGACUUGGAGAAUAGUGCCAUUCUCCUCAGCCCUUCCCUCACCAUCCUGAGCACACACGUUCUUUAAGGGGAUCUUUUCAGUGUAAAGGGCAGUCAUUAAUUCUG
Molecule: long non-coding RNA, 1954 nt
Organism: Sapajus apella (tufted capuchin)
Lineage: Eukaryota; Metazoa; Chordata; Mammalia; Primates; Cebidae
Exons: 2
Source: RefSeq, a predicted model, not a curated record